GUUUAUGAUUAACAAUUUUCUUGUUAGGUUCAGUCAGAAUAGUUAAAAUGUUGCCCAGUCCGUUAGGAAAGAGCACCGGGCAGGCCAAGAUUCUCCCGAGGGAAAAAAUAGCCAUGCCCAGGGCGGAUGAGCCGAAGCCCACCCAUAAAAACAGUGCACAAGAUAAAAAGAAGAGAAAGCUCCCCAAAGAGAACCCCCCCGCAUUUUUAAUGAUCCUUCCGCAGGUUCACCUACGGAAA
This 239-nucleotide unclassified non-coding RNA is filed under the name uncultured fungus. Its description in RNAcentral is "sequence contains ITS1". The record is from RNAcentral. Lineage: Eukaryota; Fungi.